AAGCGAAACCAGACCGAGUUAAUCCUCGGUUUGGUCUGCCAGGCGUGGUUGUCUGGUACUGAUGAGCAGCCAAUU
This 75-nucleotide non-coding RNA is filed under the name Cognatundibacterium aquatile. RNAcentral also lists the same sequence under 1 other name. Lineage: Bacteria; Pseudomonadati; Pseudomonadota; Betaproteobacteria; Burkholderiales; Oxalobacteraceae. The record is from RNAcentral.